This 29-nucleotide non-coding RNA is filed under the name Homo sapiens (human). The record is from RNAcentral. Lineage: Eukaryota; Metazoa; Chordata; Mammalia; Primates; Hominidae.
UCCUGUGAUGGCGGUGGGCACUGGCACAA